CGAGGUUAAGCCGUUAGGCGAAGCCGAAGCGAAAGCGAGUCUGAAUAGGGCAUAGAGUUGUUGGACGUAGACCCGAAGCCAGGUGAUCUAUCCAUGACCAGGUUGAAGCGGGGGUAAAACCUCGUGGAGGACCGAACUCACUAAUGUUGAAAAAUUAGGGGAUGAGUUGUGGAUGGGAGCGAAAAGACUAAUCAAACCUGGAGAUAGCUGGUUCUCCCCCGAAAUAUAUUGAGGUAUAGCCUCGCGAGGUUCGCACCGGAGGUAGAGCACUGGAUGGGCUAGGGGUCCCACAGGAUUACCAAACCCAACCAAACUCCGAAUGCUGGUGACGAUAUCGCGGGAGUCAGACUGUGGGAGAUAAGUUCCAUGGUCGAGAGGGAAAGAGCCCAGAUUACCAGCUAAGGUCCCAAAGUGUAUGCUAAGUGGUAAACGAUGUGGGGACACAUAGACAACCAGGAGGUUGGCUUAGAAGCAGCCAUCCUUUAAAGAAAGCGUAAUAGCUCACUGGUCAAGUGGCCCUGCGCGGAAAAUAUAACGGGGC
RNAcentral lists this ribosomal RNA (541 nucleotides) under uncultured bacterium. RNAcentral's name for it is "bacterial LSU rRNA". It matches the Rfam family "Bacterial large subunit ribosomal RNA", at positions 641 to 1181 of the family's 2925-position model. The record is from RNAcentral.